CACCGCGGUUAUACGAGAGACCCAAAUUGACCUAAAACGGCGUAAAGGGUGGUUAAAAACUUUACACUAGAGCCGAACUCGUCCCUGACUGUUAUACGUUACGGAACAAUGAAGUACUAAAACGAAAGUAGCUCUAAAAUUUUGAACCCACGAAAGCUAGGAAA
RNAcentral lists this ribosomal RNA (164 nucleotides) under Callionymus belcheri. RNAcentral's name for it is "partial 12S rRNA". Lineage: Eukaryota; Metazoa; Chordata; Actinopteri; Syngnathiformes; Callionymidae. The record is from RNAcentral.